Molecule: ribosomal RNA, 240 nt
Filed under: uncultured Pseudomonas sp.
Lineage: Bacteria; Pseudomonadati; Pseudomonadota; Gammaproteobacteria; Pseudomonadales; Pseudomonadaceae
Description: partial 16S ribosomal RNA
Rfam family: Bacterial small subunit ribosomal RNA
Source: RNAcentral
ACUGACCCGGUGACAAACCGGGAGGAAGUGGGGGAUGACGUCAAGUCAUCCAUGGCCCUUACGGCCUGGGCUACACACGUGCUACAAUAGGUCGGUACAAAGGGUUGCCAAGCCGCGAGGUGGAGCUAAUCCCAUAAAACCGAUCGUAGUCCGGAUCGCAGUCUGCAACUCGACUGCGUGAAGUCGGAAUCGCUAGUAAUCGUGAAUCAGAAUGUCACGGUGAAUACGUUCCCGGGCCUU